Labrus bergylta (ballan wrasse) is the source of this 117-nucleotide small nuclear RNA. Its record names the gene U5. It matches the Rfam family "U5 spliceosomal RNA". Rfam says of the family: U5 RNA is a component of both types of known spliceosome. The precise function of this molecule is unknown, though it is known that the 5' loop is required for splice site selection and p220 binding, and that both the 3' stem-loop and the Sm site are important for Sm protein binding and cap methylation. Lineage: Eukaryota; Metazoa; Chordata; Actinopteri; Labriformes; Labridae. The record is from Ensembl.
CUACUCGGGUUUCUCUUCAUAUCGUACAAGUCUUUCGCCUUUUACUAAAGACUUCCGUGGAGAGGAACACUAUUGAGUUCAACUGAUUUUUGGCAGGCUUAGCCUUGUAGCUGAGCC